CCCUUAGAUGUUCUGGGCCGCACGCGCGCUACACUGACUGGUGCAACAAGUGUCGCUCCUUGGCCGAUAGGCCUGGGCAAUCUUUGAACGCUGGUCGUGAUGGGGAUAGACUUUUGCAAUUUUUGGUCUUCAACGAGGAAUUCCUAGUAAACGCAAGUCAUCAACUUGCAUUGAUUACGUCCCUGCCCUUUGUACACACCGCCCGUCGCACCUACCGAUUGAAUGGUCCGGUGAAGCCUCCGGAUUGGCGCGCACCUCGGUGCCGCCGAGAAGUUGGCUAAACCUUACCAUUUAGAGGAAGGUGAAGUCGUANCA
This 315-nucleotide ribosomal RNA is filed under the name uncultured eukaryote. RNAcentral describes it as "partial 18S ribosomal RNA". It matches the Rfam family "Eukaryotic small subunit ribosomal RNA", at positions 1470 to 1796 of the family's 1831-position model. The record is from RNAcentral.